UGGAUUUUUUUUUCUUGGAUUCGAAGUGC
RNAcentral lists this non-coding RNA (29 nucleotides) under Rattus norvegicus (Norway rat). Lineage: Eukaryota; Metazoa; Chordata; Mammalia; Rodentia; Muridae. The record is from RNAcentral.